CUCUCGGCAACGGAUAUCUAGGCUCUCGCAUCGAUGAAGAACGUAGCAAAAUGCGAUACUUGGUGUGAAUUGCAGAAUCCCGCGAAUCAUCGAGUUUUUGAACGCAAGUUGCGCCCGAAGCCAUUCGGCCGAGGGCACGUCUGCCUGGGUGUCACGCAUCGUUG
RNAcentral lists this ribosomal RNA (164 nucleotides) under Quercus griffithii. RNAcentral describes it as "5.8S ribosomal RNA". It matches the Rfam family "5.8S ribosomal RNA". Rfam says of the family: 5.8S ribosomal RNA (5.8S rRNA) is a component of the large subunit of the eukaryotic ribosome. It is transcribed by RNA polymerase I as part of the 45S precursor that also contains 18S and 28S rRNA. Functionally, it is thought that 5.8S rRNA may be involved in ribosome translocation. The record is from RNAcentral. Lineage: Eukaryota; Viridiplantae; Streptophyta; Magnoliopsida; Fagales; Fagaceae. RNAcentral also lists the same sequence under 3 other names.